GAUCUCAAGGGGUUACUUCGAUAACAAUGGAUGACAAAACAGGGAAAAUGACAGUAGUUGGAGAAGUUGAUACACCGGUUCUCGUGAUGAAGCUAAGGAAACUGUGUAAUGCAGAAAUCGUUUCGGUUGAAGUUGUUAAACCACCUGAGAAAAAGCCUGAACCGGCGAAACCGGCUCCAGCUAAACCUGAUACAACUAAACCGGCUGAAAUUGUUGCCUUUCCAGUUACGCAUAUGAACUACCCGUACCAAUAUCAUUCGUCCUAUGCGAAUUCGCACUAUCAGCCAUACGGGAAUUCUAGAGUUGUGGUGGAGGAACCAAACACUUGUGUGCUUAUGUGAUUUAACAAGCUAGAAUUAUUUUAAGUAAUGUUAGUUGUGUAAUACUUAGUUUUGGUGGGAGUGUAUUUUUUUUUGUGGUAUGUUGUAAUGGACAUUAGUCGCGUGAGCUCAUUCAAGGGAAACAAAUCAUUUAUGUGUGAUAAAGUGGAGCUUUAACACUAUGUUAACUUAAAAUUUUUUUUACAAUUGUAUAGAACUUCCUGAGACGGGCAUAACCUUUAGACUACCAACGAUGAAUUGAAUCAAAUCCAUACGACUAAAACUACUCUACUACAUUUUCAAAUGAUACACGUACGGGUUACUUCGCCUCUCCGGACUCAACACAGAAGAAAGAUACACAGACGAGUCUCUAGUCAUAAUCCCGGACCCGAAAUCCGUGUCGCUGGCUUGUCUGUUUAAUUGGGCUGGGAGACCCAAAACUCCAUGUCCUCAUCGCCGCUGCAUCCUCAACUUUCAAUGAAGCUCGAUACUUUACCAAAGCGGGUUUGUAAUGGUCGCCGAUCAAAGUCAAUGAAGCUCUAAAACCUGUGCAAGAUUUUAUCUAUGCUACAUUUAAAUUCUGCAUUAUAGUGACAUAGUGUCUAAAUGAACAACAAUGCUAAUUUCCAGAUGCAGCGUCUUAAUAGAGAAACGAACAGGGCCGUAAUAAGCUCAAUUAUUUUCUUCUUUUUCUUCGACCCCAUAAUUGUUCUGGGCCAGACCUGUCUUCAUGAUACUUUGUUUACUCUGUUUUUCAUGUUGGUUACCUCCCAAAUCAUUUGACUUCCAUCAUUAUAUGAACGAAACUUCGACAAACAAAAACUAGAAGAAAAUAAGAUAACUAUAGAAAGAUUGAGGCAAAGAUUCGUUUUACACUUUUAAGCAAAUGUUAUUGGCCAGACUGUAGAGACAUUAGCGUUGCAAACUCUUUGCUCUUCCCAAUUUGGGAAAUUUUUCAAAAUCCCACAGCAAGGUCUUGUGUAAUUACUGCACCAGAAUAUAUUACAACGCUAAACUGGAGCUUGAGGGUUAAGACAACAAAAAAACAACGAAAAGCACAUUAUGGGUUGAACUUUUCUUCUCUAAAGAUGUGAUGUAAAUUGAUAUAUGAAACUCACCCACACCAGCGUACACGAUGUGAUUCUUUGUGAUGUGAAUAUUUCAUAGAGUACUCAUGGGGGUAGAAUGUCAUUAUCUAAUACAACUAUCUCGAUUUUGAACCGGUUUGUUUUAGUCAAGUCUUGUCUGUUGCCUAUAUUUUAUCUUUCCUUUCUUCUAAAGCCUUGGACGUGUAUAAAUAGACAUAAUCACUUCUCCAAAGCCAAGAGACAAACAAAAGCCUAGAUCUAGCUAGAAACCUAACGCUGCUGACACCUCGUUGAACUGCCAUGUCCAUCCAUCACGUCGCCUCAACUGAGCCAAGAAGAGGAAGCAAGCUGAGAGGCUUCAAUCUUAAAACGCUAGAGCUGCUUCCCCUCGCCUCAAGGAGUCAAUGGUUAAAAAGCAAAACUGAUCAGACUUGCACCGCAAGUCACUAAACCAUGGACCGUCAUCAAAACCCCUACAUCCCUACUUGUUAGGCCAUUGGCCUUCACCUUAGUUACCGCGGUUAGCCUAGAUCCUUGCCAUGGACGAGUUACAAGGAGGUGAAUCAAGCCUCUUGCGUGUCACGCUACUCAAUCCUGAAAUCGUAGCUUCACUCCCAUCCUGAACCACCGUGAUAUUACUCUAAUCGGCCAUCAUUGCUGAUGGGACAACACCCUUCGCGUCUUCUCCAUAUGAAAAUUCCCCAUCUUAUAAUUCGUCUCUUAAGCGAAGGUGAGGGCUUUUUUCCAUAAUGAUUUGUUAUCUUUCCAUUCGACAGAGUUUAAUGUUAAACCGAGAUACCUACGAGACGAGCUAUAUAAGUUGAUUUUUAUUUGAAUGUGGUUUAUGACUAUACUUAAUAUAUAUAUACAAAGACAUGUAUGCUUGUCACACUGUUUUACUCGAAUGAACUUUAAAUCGUAUAAGGAUGAUCUUUAGGGUCCAAUAGUGCCCAUUUCAUGAUCUUUCCUCGCAAUGUUGCGAAUCUGACUGAACUUUGGUUUAAUUAUAAGUUUAUAACUAGAUUUUGAUCUGCACGACCUAUGAUUUUUUUCUAAUAAUCAAAUAUUUUAUGUUAUACAAUAAAAUAUAUAAAUAGAUUAAUAUAAUUUGGUGUUAUAUAUUAUCUAAUUUUAUAAUAAUAUUUUUGUGGCGUAUAAUAUUAUUACUAUAAAAUUUCUAAUUUUGUAUUUUUGUAAACAAAAUUUAUUUUGAAAACAUUAUUAGUUAAAAAUACUGAUUUACAUAAUUUUGUUUUAUUUCUAAAUUUAAAAUCUAUGUGGAAAUCAAAUUAAGUUGAAAUUACAUAAUAAUGAAUUUGGUAUAUAGUGAUUAAUUAAACCAUUUUGUAUAGUUGUUUAAAUAAUAAAACGAAUUAGUUUUUAACUCAUGAGAAUACACAAACGUUAAAAACAGUAGACUGAAGUCUUAUAUAUACGACAGGAAUAAAGAUCAAAUAUUUCAUCUAUGAAGGGAGGUGCAAAUUAAUUGUAUUAAACAUCUAAAAGUAUGACUUUUAAAUGGUCUAAAUAGAAAAAAAAUUGCAUAUGAAUUAAGUCAUAAUUUAUAUGCUAAAUAGAUAAAAUAUUUUUACUUUUAAAUUAAAAAUAUAAUGAACAUUUAUUAUAAAAACAUAUUUUAAAAUAUUUCUUAAAUUUAGUUUUGAAAAUUAAAUCAAUUAAAAAUUGUUAUUAUCAUUAAAAUAUUAUUAAAAGUAUUUUAUAUAAUUAUUAUUUUAUUUACAAUCAAAACUAAAUUAAAAUUUAGUUUUUAAUUAUACUUUGUGAUAAUUAAAAAUUUAAUUAACUAAUUUCGAAAAUAUAUUCUAAAAAUAUAUUCUAAAAAUAUAUUUGAAAGAUUUUGUUAGACAUUUCUUUAAGAUUUAAUAAUAAUUCAAAUAAAAAUAAAAUAUUAAAAGAUAUUAUAAUUAACUUAUGUAAAAUAUAUUAAAUUUCUUAGGAAUGGUCCAAAUAAAAAAUCACACAUGAAAAAAGUCAUGACUUCUAUUUUAAGGGGGGUGUUAGUGGGACUUAGAUUUCUAUAGAGUUUGUUGAUUUUAAAAGUUGAGAGAUUUGUUAAAUUUAGAAAAAAUUAUAGAAAAUUUUGUAUAUUGUGAAAAUCUAUAAAAAUAAAGUAAUUUAAUAAUUAUAAGAAUUCAAGGAAAACAUGUAGUAUUCUCAAAAUCUUGUUUUGUGAGUGAAAAUGUUAAGAAUUCAACUUCCAAUAACAUUUAUUUUAAUAGAUUUGUAGAAUCAUUUAAAUCUAAACUUUUUGGGGAAAAUUACAUGUUUACCACUUUCAUGGUACCACUUUUCAUUUUUACCACCACUAAUGAGACAUUUUCAAAAAUACCUUCUUCAUUAAGUAGCAAAAGACUCUUAUGCCCUUGUUAUUUAUAUAUAUAAUAAAUCAUUAUUUAAAUAAAAAAAUGUAAUUUUUUUUUAUGUUUUCGAAUUAUACUUUUUCAAAUUCGAACUUUUUGAUAAAUUUUUUUUUUUAUUUUUUUCGAUUUUUUUUUUAUUUUUUUUUCAAAUUUGUUUUUGAAAAACGAAAAUUAUGUUUGAAACUAUUUUAUAUAUAUUUUUUAAGUAUUUAUAUAUUUAUUAGAAUCAUAAAUUUCACAUUCCAAAAACCAUACCCCACCCCUCAACUCUAAACCCUAAGGCUAGAUUAGUUAACCCUAAGGGUAGGGGUGUCAAAAUUGGUCAUGACCCAUGGGUUGACCCAACCCAAAUUGACUCAUUAACCCAAAUGAACUGUUUAUUUUUGAUCCAAUGGAUUAAUGGGUUAAUAGGUUAAUAGAUUAAUAUGUUAAUGGGUUAACAAGUUAAUGGGUUUAUUGGGUUGAGUCAACUCUGACCCAUUUUGUUUGCAAUUAAAAAAACCGUGAGUAAACCACCCAAUUCUAAGGUUUGAUAGAAUUGGAAAAUCAUGAGUUUCUCAAAAGUUCAAUCAUUUAUUCGGUGGUAAAAUACGUUUCCCGGCAAAACCGCAAAAAUAAGUUUUUCCACUAAAACCGCGAAAAUACGUUUUUCAGCUAAAACCGCAAAAACGCGUUUUCCCGCCAAAACCGCAAAAACGCGUUUUCCUGCCAAAACCGCAAAAAACGCAUUUUUCCGCAAAAACCACAAAAACUCAUUUUUUCCGCAAAACCGUAAAAAUUUGUUUUCCCGCAAAACCGCAAAAACGCGUUUUACCGCCAAAACCGCAAAAACGCAUUUUUCUGCCAAAACCGCAAAAACGCAAUUUUCCGCAAAACGCGUUUUCCUGCAAAAACGCGUUUUCCCGCAAAAACACGUUUCCCGCAAAAACGCGUUUCCCGCAAAAACGUGUUUUCCCGCAAAAACGCGUUUCCCGCAAAAACGUGUUUUCCCGCAAAAACGCGUUUCCCGCAAAAACGUGUUUUCCCGCAAAAACGCGUUUUCCCGCAAAAACGCAUUUUCCCGCAAAAUCACGUUUUCCCGUAAAAACGCAUUUUCCCGCCAAAUCCUAAAAAUGUGUUUUCCCUCCAAAACCGCAAAAACGCAAUUUCCUGCAAAAACACGUUUUCCCGCAAAAACGCGUUUUCCCGCAAAAACACGUUUUUCCGUAAAAACGCGUUUUUCCCGCAAAAACGCAUUUUCCCGUAAAAACGCGUUUUUACGCCAAAACCCAAAAAGUGUUGUCCCUCCAAAACCGCAAAAACACAUUUUCCACUAAAACCACAAAACGCGCUUUCCCGCCAAAACUGCAAAACACGUUUUCCCGCCGAAACUGCAAAAACUCAUUUUCCCGCAAAAAUGCGUUUUUCCGCCAAAACCACAAAAAAAGUUUUCUCAUUUCGAUCAACUUGGUCUUAACUUAAAAAUAAUUCAUUAUAAAGAUGUUGGGUUGAUAAAGAUGUUGGGUUGAUGGGUCAACCAUUAACCCAUCUAACCUAUUUAAUUUAAUGGGUCAUGGACGGGUUGAGUUGACCCAUGACCCAUUAACAGUAAACCCAUUUGGGUUAUAGGUUGGGUUGACCCAUUUGACCCAUUUUGACACCCCUACCUAAGGGUAUAAUUAUAUUUUACCCUUCAUUAAAAGUGAGGGUAAAAGUGAUUAGUGUAAACAUGAAAAGUGAUACUAUGAAUGUGGUAUUUGUGGCAAUUUCCCAACUUUUUGAAUAACAAAUAAUUUUGUAUAAAAUUAUAGAAUCAUCAAACUAGUAACACAAGAUUUUAAUGAGAAUUUAAGAAUCUAUAAACCAAUAUUACUAGACUUCAAAUUUCUAAGACUCAUUAUAGACUAGAUUCUUACAUACGCUUAUAAAUCGCAUAACAAUUACCUAUCAAAUUUAACUUACUAAAAUCCAAAUUUAACUUACUAAAAUUUAAAUAUUUAACUUUAUUUCUGUUUAUGUGUAGGCCAGUUUUUUUUUGGUGAUAGCAGCAUUUGUUUAAGGUAAAACUAUAGGAUUUUACUUUACAGUAUGCUCAAUUUAUCAAAAAUUAUAAUUUAUUAUAAUAAUUUCUUGUAAAAUUACUAAAUAUUGAAAAUUUUUUUUAUCCAUUUGAUAAUUUAAAUAUUAUAAAAAAUAUUUUAUUUUCAUUUUUUAAAACAAAAAAAAAGUGAAUCAAUAUUUAUUAAUAGUAUUUUGAUAAUAAUUAUGAAUAGUUUGUUAUUUAAAAAAUAUUUUUUUUAAACUAAUAUUUUUUAUAGUAAAACAUAAAUAUAGAAAAAAAUAAAAGAUAUCAUUUAGUGGUAGAAUAAUCUAAUGUGCAUUGGUGCAUUGUAUUAAAAUGACCAAACUACCAUUAAAACUCUAGUCAUAGUUAUAAAUCUCGAAAAUGGACUUUUAGAUCUCCAACUAUUUGAAAUCAGUAUUUUAAUACUUACCUAUCACUUGCAUAUUUAAUCCCGAAGUCAUUAGUUGACUGCACAAAAUUAGACUUAGAAAUGUUAAAUGUUAAUUACUAGACAAAAACGUUAAUUGUAAUUAGAAAAUGGAUCGAGUUUGGCUUUCAAAACUCUAAAAUCCUUAAAAUCGAUUUUUAUGCGAUUCUAAGUGCAAAGAAGCGAUUCACGGUGACCAAAGAUUAAACAAAUGUACUUCCAGUGAGAGGAUGGUAAAAACCUACUUUGGAACUCGGACAUGAUUCAACAAAGCUUAUUCGUUUACCUUUCACUCUCUAUCGGAAUUGAAAUUCUGGAUGGUCCUCAAAUCAAUAAAAUUUCCCAACUUCUACCACUAGUUCCAAAGUAGGUUUUCACCAUCCUCUCACCGGAAGUACACUUGUUUAUUUCUCAGUCGCCGUGAAUCACUUCCUCUCACUCGGAGUAGCAUAAAGUGAAACAAUUUUAGGGAUUUUGGGGUUUUAAAAGCAAAACUUGAUCACUUUUCUGAUUGCAGUUAACGCUUAUAUUUAAAAUUAGAGAAAUACUCUAGGAUAUCACAUAAAAAGUUUAUGUCACAAACAUAGACUCUAAGGAUCAAAAUGACCAAAAUAUUAAAGAGGUAAUAUACACUUAUAUCCUUAGGGUCAACUAAUACAAACCUUAGGGUUUAAAGUUAAGGAGUGGGGAUUUGAGAUUAAGAUUUAAAUUUGAUAAAAUAAAAAAUAAAUAUAAAAUUUUUAAAAUAAAAAUGUUAAAAAUAGUUUCAAAAAGUAUUUUCGAAUUACAAAAAAAAUUUGAAAAAAAAAUUCAAAAAAUUUUUUAUAAAAAGUUCGAAUUUGAAAACAUAUAAUCUAAAACUAUAUAAAAAAAAUAUUAUUUUUUUUAUUUUUUUUAUAUAUCUAGGGUAUUAAAGUCCUUUUACCUAUUAAAUGAAACAUUUUUGUCAUUUUCUUCCUUGUAGUAUAUUUUUGUGAUCAAAACUUGAAAAUAGUUUAUUUAAGAGAAUUGCCCUUAAAAUUAACGUUUGACCUUUUUAAGUCUAAUUUUGCGCAUUCAACCAUGAUUUCGAGAUUAAAUCGCACAAAUGAUAGUUGAGUAUUAAAAAUGCUGAUUUCAAAUAGUUGAGGAUUUAAAAACCCAUUUUCUCGUUAUAAAUCAGUGGCAUUUUCAUAACAUACCACGUAAUUGUAAAAUUAUUUCAAUAUGUUAAUUUUCUUUACCUGGAUUUAUGUUUCCUCAUAAUGAAUAAGCAAAAUAUCUAAUUAACCAAACACAAAUUAAAAUCCAAGAUCAUUAAUUUUUUGUGGAAUAUUUGUGUUUGUGACGUCAAUCUCAGUUUGAUUCCAGUAUCCAGUGUUCGUUUGGAUGUUAUAAAACUGAUCUCUUGAACAAAAUCUAGAGAACUUGCUUCACAAGUUCUUACAUGACCAAAUAGGUCAACAAGGUCACAAAUCAACGUCGGCCAGGUCGUAUAAGCGACCAAAUGAGCAGUCAACACAUUUCCCGUUGCUUUCGUCGUUGCGUCGUUGGAUUUAUUAUACUUUUCAACCACAUACGAGAAACAAUACUAGCUAUAAGUUGCUUACGUCGUUGACUCCGUUACUCUUUUAAUGGUCGUCGCAAUGCUUUUUUGUUAUUAUUAUUAUUAUCUUUUUUGGACAAAUGCUUUUUUGUAUUUAAAAAUAGAAAAAACUAUGUGGGUCAUAGUAUUAGAUUCCUGGUAGUUUCCUAUGCAAUUUCUAUAUAGUGGAUAUCUUAUUGCUUGCAAUUGUCAUCAAGAAGGUUCAACAUCGCAAGACGCAAGCCAUACCUCAUAUCGUUCUUUCUUUGAUAAAUAUAUCGGAAAUUUCUCAAGCUUUACUCUAGUAUUCUUCAGCCAUGACCGCUAAGGUAUCCUUUUCUUUCAUAUUUUUUCUAUCUGAAAAUAAUUAUAUUUAACUUAAUGAUCUUUGAUUGAUCGUUAUAUAUAUAAACCAUUUAGUCAAACUUAUUUCAUAAAUAUACAAUUAUAACCAUACUGAUCUCAAGUUUGAAAUUACAGAAAGCUGUGUUGCAAUUGAGUGUCCACGAUGAGAGAAUCAGGAAGAAAGCGUUUGUGACCGUCUCUCGAUCUCAAGGGGUAACUUCGAUAACAAUGGAUGACAAAACAGGGAAAAUGACAGUAGUUGGAGAAGUUGAUACACCGGUUCUCGUGAUGAAGCUAAGGAAACUGUGUAAUGCAGAAAUCGUUUCGGUUGAAGUUGUUAAACCACCUGAGAAAAAGCCUGAACCGGCGAAACCGGCUCCAGCUAAACCUGAUACGGUUAAACCGGCAGAAAUUGUUGCCUUUCCAGUUACGCAUAUGAACUACCCGUACCAAUAUCAUUCUUCCUUUGCGAAUUCGCACUAUCAGCCA
RNAcentral lists this long non-coding RNA (8658 nucleotides) under Brassica rapa (field mustard). RNAcentral's name for it is "long non-coding RNA (BRAP_LNC007741)". The record is from RNAcentral. Lineage: Eukaryota; Viridiplantae; Streptophyta; Magnoliopsida; Brassicales; Brassicaceae.